Molecule: ribosomal RNA, 1379 nt
Filed under: metagenome
Description: bacterial SSU rRNA
Rfam family: Eukaryotic small subunit ribosomal RNA
Source: RNAcentral
AUCACUGUUGGCUAACCUAGGCAUUGGUCUCGACCUUGUCUGGAGGUGCCAUCAGUGCUGCGGAUCUAACCCUUGGCUUCGACCUUCACUCAAAGCAGACGGGAGAGUUUACCUUGUUUGUAGCCUCCUUCACUGGUGGUGAAUACGCCAUUGCAUAUAACAUGUGCACGGUACGUCCGUUGCCUGUUACUCUGAACAAACAGCGUGUCCAAAGCAACUGCCUUGUAUGGCUGAAUGCUCUAGCAUGGAAUAACAAUCUGCCGGCCUACGGGACUGGUAUUUUGUUGGUUUUCUUGGUCUCAUGAGGACAGCUCAGGGCGAGUCAUUCACUUGAGGUUCUUGAGUUUGACGCUUCCUGCUUCAGGCUCUCCCUCCUGUGGAGCUUGUCCCUUGCGGUGUUAAUGGGAACCUUCGGGGAGGUACGUACUGCAACGCUAGCGGUGAAAUGCUCAGACCGUUGCAAGGCGGACCAACGCGAAGGCAUUCCUCCAGAAUGUUUUCAUCAAAAAAGAACGAGAGUGUGGGGAUCGAAAAUGAUCAGAUACCAUUGUAGUCCAUACUGUAAACCAUGCCAGCUCGAGAUUGGGAGUGCGUUCACUUCAUGACCCUCCCAGUUUCUGCUUCCAUACCGAGAAAUCAAAGCCUAUGGGCUCUGGGGGGAGUAUGGUCGCAAGGCUGAAACUUAAAGGAAUUGGCGGAAUGACACAACAAGGCGUGGAGUAUGCGGCUUAAUUUGACCCAACACGCGGAAUCUUAUCAGGUCAGGACUCAGCCAGGAUUGACAGACUGAGAGCUCUUUCUUCAUUCUCGGAGUGGUAGUGCAUGGCCGUUUCCAGUUCGUGGUGUGAAUUGUCUACUUAAUUGUGCUAACGUACGAGAUCUCUGCCUCGAAAUACGUGCGGUCUCGCAUAUAGGUAGGGAGGCACCAGGGGUUUCCCCCGUCUCCCGAGAGACCAGUUUCACCUCUUAGAGGGACUGUGCACGUCUACAGUGCUCGGAAGGAGGAGGCCAUAGCAGGUCUGUGAUGCUCUUAGAUGUUCUGAGCUGCACGCGUCCUACACUGGUGCAGUGAGCGCGUUGUAUCUUCCUUGGGGGAGUCCUGCUCAGAGCUGAGUGCGGGAAAUCCUUUGAAUCUGCACCCGUGGUUGGGAUAGCUCCUUGCAAUUAUUGAACUUUAACGAGGAAUGCCUAGUAAUACCACUUCAUCAGAGUGGUCUGAUUGCGUCCCUGCCAUUUGCACACACCGCCCGUCGUUGCUACCGAUUGCGAAUUGGACAGAGGCUCUAGGAGGUGCACUGGGGAGGCUCCGGCCUCACUCAACAUGUAGCAAAUUUAGUCAAUGUCCUGUUCGCAGAGGAAGCAAAAGUCGUAACAAGGUU